This 342-nucleotide ribosomal RNA is filed under the name Triticum aestivum (bread wheat). RNAcentral describes it as "partial small subunit ribosomal RNA". Lineage: Eukaryota; Viridiplantae; Streptophyta; Magnoliopsida; Poales; Poaceae. The record is from RNAcentral.
AUGAUAUGUGCUGACAGCUACCAAGCUAGUAUUUUUGGUUAUUUUCACUUUAUUGUACUCCUCCGUUCAUCUUUGUAUGCAUGCGGCCCAAUAAUUCUUCUCACCCUACUUUGUAAAACUGGACAACAGAAAGUAAACACGAACAACCAACAAAUUAAGCUACAAUUUAGCCCGUUUCCCUCUCCUUCUUUAUUUUUUCUUUUCUAUUCCUUUUUCAUUUUUUGUUUCUUUUUUUCUCUUUUACAUUUUCGCUUCUCAUUUCUUUUUUUUUUCAAUUUUAUUUUCUUUCUCAAUUUUUUUUCUAAAUUUUCAAAAAAUGCCCGUGCUCAUAAAAAUGUGUAA